This is an RNA transcript of Ricinus communis (castor bean), 2126 nucleotides long. It is a transcript of the gene named putative RNA-binding protein YlmH, with no coding region annotated. Lineage: Eukaryota; Viridiplantae; Streptophyta; Magnoliopsida; Malpighiales; Euphorbiaceae. The transcript has 11 exons. The record is from RefSeq and is a predicted model, not a curated record.
UAGCAAUAAUUUAUAUUUCUUAACUGAAUAUCUACUUCCUUCUGUGAAAAGAAAAUUUCAGUUUUCGGUUUAAAAUUUAAACAACUGGCUACCUUAUGUGCGCAAGGCGAGUACUGGCAAUGGGUGCCAUGGGCACAUCAGUGACAACUGGGCUGCUCAUAAGAAGAGCAUUUCAAUCUUUUUCUCUUCCCAGAACCUCUUCUACUAACCUCUCUAUUCAUGCUGCCCCUUGCUUUUUUCCUCUGUCCUGGCCUCCUUCGAGAAACUCAGGGAUAUGUCAGUUGGCACAAGCUAUGAAGAGUGAAGUUAGUGAUUUACUCAAGAGUGUCGGAGACAAAAGUGUUGUUGAAGAAGUGAAGCAUAUUCUUGACAUGUCUAGAAGGGCAUCAUCAAGAAGAGAAGCUCUCCAUACAGAUUUUCUCACCCCACCAAUAUUGAAGGAGUCAAUGCUUUUAUUGGAAAAAUUAGCUGACAUUAAAGCAGUUGGUCAGGGAGGAUAUCCACAGGCUGAGCGUUGCCGGCUUUCUGUUGGACAUCCAGAAGCACUAAUGAACGAUCCAGAUAUAAUUGCAGCAUUGAGUAUCACAGGUAACUUCGCAUUUCAACCUUGUUCUCAUGGUGACUUCCUUGGCUCAAUUCUAGGUACAGGGAUCUCCAGGGAAAAGGUUGGGGAUAUAAUCUUGCAGGGAGAGAAAGGGGCUCAAAUCCUAACUGUCCCAGAACUUGUCGACUUUAUCAUGUCCUCACUGGACAAGGUUGGUAAUGUUUCAGUUUCAUGUGCAAGGAUACCUUUGCUGGCUCUUGAAUAUGAACCACCGAGGACUAGGACUUUCAAUACAAUAGAAGCAUCACUCAGGGUGGAUGCUCUAGCUAGUGCAGGAUUCAAGAUUUCACGGUCAAAACUAGUUGAUUUGAUUAGUAACAGAGAUGUGCGUGUGAAUUGGACUACCAUCACAAAAAAUAAUACUAUUCUAAAAACUGGAGAUAUUGUCUCGGUUAGUGGGAAAGGAAGACUAAAGAUAGGAGAAAUAAAUUCUACAAAGAAAGGAAAAUUUGCAGUUGAGCUUAUUCGCUAUCUGUAAGCACCAGCAUGCUGAACAAAAAUGGGAUAUGAGGCUCACUACAUUGCAAGGGUUGGCGAGUGGCGUAAGCACCAGCAUUUAGCAAUUUAAGAUCAUUAGUUUUUGCCGCGUAUUCCUUAUUGAUGGCAGCUUCUCUCACCUGUUGAUUUAAGUAAAGUUUGUCUUCAACAAUAAUGUGCAAGCUUCUGUAUUAGUAUUUGCAAGAGAGAAUUCUGAAUCAGUUGCAGGGAACUCCACUGGCGCAUUUGCGAUUGCACUUGCCACAGUGAUCAGCACUAGAAGCAACAUUAGUACAUAUUCCAUGGCAGCAGUGCUCUCCGAACUUGCACUUGCGGCCGCAUUGGCCGCAAUUAUUCUUAUCUCCAAGAAUAUUCCUGCAGUGUUUCUUGCAGCAGUAGAGCAGGCUAGUGCCAUUGUUGGCAGAAACUCCACUACAUAUGUUGUUAUAAGUUGGGUCGCAGUGCUUACCUUUUCUUAUAACAGUAGUCAAGAAUCUGCUUCUUGACAUGGAAUUUUGCAAUGGGUAGUCAAGAACAUACACUUCAUCAUCAUCUUCAUCUUCUAUAUCAGCAGACUGGGUUUUUGGAGUAUUCAAGAACAGUAGCAGAAGUAUGGAGAGAAUGGUUGUGUUCUUGAGUAGACAACUAGCCAUUCUCUCUUCUCUCUCUCUCUCUUGCAAAGUGGGAAUUUGUCCACAAGAGUGUAAAGUAAGGGAGAUGCAUGGAGGGUAUUUUAAGCUAAAAAAGUGUGAUUAAAAUAUAAUGACUAGAUUUACACAUUCCAUAAUCUAAGGGCAAGGAAAUUAAUGCUUCCUGUUGCAAGUUUUUAAGCUUUAAGCAUAAGUUAAUGAUUAAUUUAGUGAAGUUCUUAAUACAACUGUACACUCUAGAUUUUCGGGACAGCUCAUUAAGUAUUUGCUUUGUUUUGACUAAUUGUAAUGGAGCCCCCCCUAAUGCAACCCCAUGCAUGGGCAUGUUAGGGUUCAGAUUUUAGGCUGAAUAAUUUUGUUUAACCUUCAAAUAUAGGAUCUAUGUUUAGUCUAAA